This 1235-nucleotide ribosomal RNA is filed under the name Discothyrea sp. CS-2003-1. RNAcentral describes it as "eukaryotic LSU rRNA". It matches the Rfam family "Eukaryotic large subunit ribosomal RNA", at positions 44 to 944 of the family's 3401-position model. Lineage: Eukaryota; Metazoa; Arthropoda; Insecta; Hymenoptera; Formicidae. The record is from RNAcentral.
UAUUAAGCGGAGGAAAAGAAACUAACCAGGAUUUCCUCAGUAGCGGCGAGCGAACAGGAAAGAGCCCAGCACCGAAUCCCGCGGUUCCGCCGCUGGGAAAUGUGGUGUUCGGGAGGGUCCGCUUAUCCCGAGGUGUCGGAUCGCGUCCAAGUCCAUCUUGAAUGGGGCCACUUACCCGUAGAGGGUGCCAGGCCCGUAGCGACCGGUACGCGCCUCGGGAGGAUCUCUCCUUAGAGUCGGGUUGCUUGAGAGUGCAGCUCUAAGUGGGUGGUAAACUCCAUCUAAGGCUAAAUACGACCACGAGACCGAUAGCGAACAAGUACCGUGAGGGAAAGUUGAAAAGAACUUUGAAGAGAGAGUUCAAGAGUACGUGAAACCGUUCAGGGGUAAACCUAAGAAACCCAAAAGAUCGAACGGGGAGAUUCAUCGUCAGCGGCGCCGGCUUCGCGUCGGUGGGCGAUGACCCGCGGGCACGUCCCACGGGCACGCUACCGUGCGCGCAUGUCCGGCGCGCGUCGUCGUGCACUUCUCCCCUAGUAGGACGUCGCGACCCGCUGGGUGUCGGUCUACGGUCCGAGUGCGGUGCCUGUCGCGUCGCCGGUAAAACGGCACGCGGCAAACCCUCGGUCGCCCGACCGGCUGCCCGGCGGUACUCGCAAGGUAUCAGGCCGCAAGGCGCGCGCGGCGCACCCGCGUCGCGCGCCUACCUGCGUCGAGUCCGUCGCAAGCGCGCGCCAUGGUUGCUCGGAGGUUACGGACCUAGCGCCGUCCCCGGUCCUGGCCCGCUGUUCGCUCGACGGUGACCCUUCGACUGGCCUCGAAGCGCGGGUCUGCGGGCCGAGUCCUCUCGGUCCUCUCACGCGCGAUACCGGUCGGCGACGCUACUGCUUUGGGUACUCUUAGGACCCGUCUUGAAACACGGACCAAGGAGUCUAACAUGUGCGCGAGUCAUUGGGAUGAGAAAAACCUAAAGGCGCAAUGAAAGUGAAGGUCGGCCCUGGCGCCGACCGAGGGAGGAUGGGCCGCGUCGCGAUGCGGCCUCGCACUCCCGGGGCGUCUCGUUCUCAUUGCGAGAAGAGGCGCACCAAGAGCGUACACGUUGGGACCCGAAAGAUGGUGAACUAUGCCUGGUCAGGACGAAGUCAGGGGAAACCCUGAUGGAGGUCCGUAGCGAUUCUGACGUGCAAAUCGAUCGUCGGAACUGGGUAUAGGGGCGAAAGACUAAUCGAACCAUC